AGCAGUAGCCGCGGUAAUACGUAGGUGGCAAGCGUUGUCCGGAAUUAUUGGGCGUAAAGCGCGCGCAGGCGGAUCAGUCAGUCUGUCUUAAAAGUUCGGGGCUUAACCCCGUGAUGGGAUGGAAACUGCUGAUCUAGAGUAUCGGAGAGGAAAGUGGAAUUCCUAGUGUAGCGGUGAAAUGCGUAGAUAUUAGGAAGAACACCAGUGGCGAAGGCGACUUUCUGGACGAAAACUGACGCUGAGGCGCGAAAGCCAGGGGAGCGAACGGGAUUAGAUACCCCUGUAGUCCCUGUCUCUUAUACA
This 303-nucleotide ribosomal RNA is filed under the name uncultured bacterium. Its description in RNAcentral is "partial 16S ribosomal RNA". It matches the Rfam family "Bacterial small subunit ribosomal RNA", at positions 507 to 809 of the family's 1533-position model. The record is from RNAcentral.